Molecule: ribosomal RNA, 1371 nt
Filed under: uncultured bacterium
Lineage: Bacteria
Description: bacterial SSU rRNA
Rfam family: Bacterial small subunit ribosomal RNA
Source: RNAcentral
CGCUAGCGACAGGCUUAACACAUGCAAGUCGAGGGGCAGCAUGAGGGUAGCAAUACCCUUGAUGGCGACCGGCGCACUGGUGAGUAACACGUAUGCAACCUGCCCCGCGCAGGGGGAUAAUCCGGAGAAAUCUGGUCUAAUACCCCGUAUGCCGCGCUUCCGCAUGGGGGUGCGGUGAAAGGAGCGAUCCGGCACGGGAUGGGCAUGCGGCGCAUUAGCUAGUCGGCGGGGUGACGGCCCACCGAGGCGACGAUGCGUAGGGGUUCUGAGAGGAAGGUCCCCCACACUGGUACUGAGACACGGACCAGACUCCUACGGGAGGCAGCAGUGAGGAAUAUUGGUCAAUGGACGGAGGUCUGAACCAGCCAAGUCGCGUGAGGGACGACGGCCCUACGGGUUGUAAACCUCUUUUGCGGGGGAGUAAAGUGAGCCACGCGUGGUUCAUUGCGAGUACCCCGAGAAAAAGCAUCGGCUAAUUCCGUGCCAGCAGCCGCGGUAAUACGGAAGAUGCGAGCGUUAUCCGGAUUUAUUGGGUUUAAAGGGUGCGCAGGCGGCAUGUCAAGUCAGCGGUCAAAGUUCCGGGCUCAACCCGGUGAUGCCGUUGAAACUGGCGCGCUUGAGUUCGUGGGAGGAAGGCGGAAUGCGCGGUGUAGCGGUGAAAUGCAUAGAUAUCACGCAGAACCCCGAUUGCGAAGGCAGCYUUCCAUCACGCCACUGACGCUGAGCACGAAAGCGUGGGUAUCGAACAGGAUUAGAUACCCUGGUAGUCCACGCAGUAAACGAUGAUAACUAGUUUUCCGGCGCGAUUGGGCGUUGGGAGACCGAGCGAAAGCGUUAAGUUAUCCACCUGGGGAGUACGCCGGCAACGGUGAAACUCAAAGGAAUUGACGGGGGCCCGCACAAGCGGAGGAACAUGUGGUUUAAUUCGAUGAUACGCGAGGAACCUUACCCGGGCUCAAACGGCGAUGGACGCACCGUGAAAGCGGUGUUCCCUUCGGGGCUGUUGCCGAGGUGCUGCAUGGUUGUCGUCAGCUCGUGCCGUGAGGUGUCGGCUUAAGUGCCAUAACGAGCGCAACCCCCAUCUCCAGUUGCCACCGCGUCAAGGCGGGCACUCUGGAGAGACUGCCGGCGCAAGCUGCGAGGAAGGCGGGGAUGACGUCAAAUCAGCACGGCCCUUACGUCCGGGGCGACACACGUGUUACAAUGGCGGGGCACAGCGGGGCGCCACAUGGCGACAUGGAGCCGAUCCCGAAAACCCGUCUCAGUUCGGAUCGGAGUCUGCAACCCGACUCCGUGAAGCUGGAUUCGCUAGUAAUCGCGCAUCAGCCAUGGCGCGGUGAAUACGUUCCCGGGCCUUGUACACACCGCCCG